GGGAGACCUUGGCCUGUUCAAAAAGGGCUCUGAUUUCCCGCUCGUAGAGUCUGCCGAGGUUCUGGGAAUACACCUGGAAUGGGGAGAAAAGGCCAGAUGCUGGAGAUCCACUUGCAAAACUUCUCCAACUGACGCUCACAAUCCAGGCUGGCCUAGAUAUCCACAGUUUUGGGGGAUGAGUGGCAAGUUUUGACAGUGUCCAGUGGCAGAUGCUUGGGAUCAAAAGCAAGCCCGGAGCUCUGGUGCCUUCAGGAUUC
This is a long non-coding RNA of Passer domesticus (house sparrow), 257 nucleotides long. RefSeq lists it as uncharacterized. The transcript is spliced from 3 exons. Lineage: Eukaryota; Metazoa; Chordata; Aves; Passeriformes; Passeridae. The record is from RefSeq and is a predicted model, not a curated record.